RNAcentral lists this long non-coding RNA (829 nucleotides) under Chinchilla lanigera (long-tailed chinchilla). RNAcentral's name for it is "lncRNA (ENSCLAG00000025431.1)". Lineage: Eukaryota; Metazoa; Chordata; Mammalia; Rodentia; Chinchillidae. The record is from RNAcentral.
GGCCGGGACAACCGCCGCCGCCGCCGCCGCUGCCGCCGCCUCCUUCCCGACUUCUCGUGAGGGGAACCGACGAGAGCGGGGGACGGCAAGAGGAGGCCCGCCCCGGGCGGCCGGAGGCCAAGUGUCGGUGCGCGCCCCCUGCUGGCCAGGAGGAGUCACUGCGCCGCGCCGAGGCCGAGGCCGGGGCCCGGCGGGGCCGAGGGGGGCACGCACAAUAAAUAAUACAGUAUUUAUUGAGUGCCUGUCUGUGCCAAGCGCUUCGCCUGGGUUGCCUUCCUGACCAUUGCUUUGGGGAUCAUUCUAAAUGCUUCGCUGUGCCCUAAACACGCUCCGGCUCACCCUGGAAGCUGUCCACAGUUGGUGGCUUGUGUGUCUUCCUCCCGCUCCACCCAUGCUGUGCCCGGAGCUUGAUACCAGGUGCUCAGGAUGCAUGGAGGAAGAGCAUGAACUUUCUUAUCUGAUGCUCAUGACAACCAGAGAAAGCUGUGAGAUAGAAAAGGAUGGGGGGUGCUACAGAGAACAAGCAGCCAGUGUGCACUUCCUGGACGUCGGAGCGCCGUGUCGGGGUGUACCCUUCGGAGCACGUGCUGAGUACAGAUGCCAGACGCCCGCGGGGCAUGGGUCUCUGGACACCAGGGCCGUAGCACUGACAGGUGGACACCUGGCAUCGCCACAGCGGCUACAGAUGUGCCCCCCCCCACUGUCCCUGCUGCUGAGGACCUGCCUUGGUGCUUCUACCUGCUCUUACAUGCGCGUGUUCUCUCAGCAGCUGGAUUCUAUGCUUUCAGAAUGGCCCAAGCCAUCCCCUUCUGCCUGCCUCCUUCCCUAG